RNAcentral lists this ribosomal RNA (797 nucleotides) under Staphylococcus sp. FAS64. RNAcentral's name for it is "bacterial SSU rRNA". It matches the Rfam family "Bacterial small subunit ribosomal RNA", at positions 100 to 883 of the family's 1533-position model. Lineage: Bacteria; Bacillati; Bacillota; Bacilli; Caryophanales; Staphylococcaceae. The record is from RNAcentral.
GACGGGUGAGUAACACGUGGGUAACCUACCUAUAAGACUGGAAUAACUCCGGGAAACCGGGGCUAAUGCCGGAUAACAUUUAGAACCGCAUGGUUCUAAAGUGAAAGAUGGUUUUGCUAUCACUUAUAGAUGGACCCGCGCCGUAUUAGCUAGUUGGUAAGGUAACGGCUUACCAAGGCAACGAUACGUAGCCGACCUGAGAGGGUGAUCGGCCACACUGGAACUGAGACACGGUCCAGACUCCUACGGGAGGCAGCAGUAGGGAAUCUUCCGCAAUGGGCGAAAGCCUGACGGAGCAACGCCGCGUGAGUGAUGAAGGUCUUCGGAUCGUAAAACUCUGUUAUUAGGGAAGAACAAAUGUGUAAGUAACUAUGCACGUCUUGACGGUACCUAAUCAGAAAGCCACGGCUAACUACGUGCCAGCAGCCGCGGUAAUACGUAGGUGGCAAGCGUUAUCCGGAAUUAUUGGGCGUAAAGCGCGCGUAGGCGGUUUCUUAAGUCUGAUGUGAAAGCCCACGGCUCAACCGUGGAGGGUCAUUGGAAACUGGGAAACUUGAGUGCAGAAGAGGAAAGUGGAAUUCCAUGUGUAGCGGUGAAAUGCGCAGAGAUAUGGAGGAACACCAGUGGCGAAAGCGACUUUCUGGUCUGUAACUGACGCUGAUGUGCGAAAGCGUGGGGAUCAAACAGGAUUAGAUACCCUGGUAGUCCACGCCGUAAACGAUGAGUGCUAAGUGUUAGGGGGUUUCCGCCCCCUUAGUGCUGCAGCUAACGCAUUAAGCACUCCGCCUGGGGAGUAC